RNAcentral lists this ribosomal RNA (253 nucleotides) under uncultured bacterium. RNAcentral describes it as "partial 16S ribosomal RNA". It matches the Rfam family "Bacterial small subunit ribosomal RNA", at positions 524 to 776 of the family's 1533-position model. The record is from RNAcentral.
UACGUAGGGGGCAAGCGUUGUCCGGAAUUAUUGGGCGUAAAGAGCGCGUAGGCGGUCCGCUAAGUCGGCUGUGAAAGUCAGGGGCUCAACCCUUGGAAGCCGGCCGAUACUGUCGGACUAGAGUCCGGAAGAGGCGAGUGGAAUUCCCGGUGUAGCGGUGAAAUGCGCAGAUAUCGGGAGGAACACCAAUGGCGAAGGCAGCUCGCUGGGACGGUACUGACGCUGAGGCACGAAAGCGUGGGGAGCAAACAGG